GCUCGAGUGGUGGCCGCUUUUACUGGGCUUAAAGGGUCCGUAGCUUGAUUCAUGGGUCCCUUGAGAAAUCUAUCGGCUUAACUGAUAGGCGUUCAGGGGAAACUGUGAUUCUAGGGACCGGGAGAGGUGAGAGGUACUGCCGGGGUAGGAGUGAAAUCCUGUAAUCCCGGUGGGACGACCUAUGGCGAAGGCAUCUCACCAGAACGGCUCCGACAGUGAGGGACGAAAGCUGGGGGAGCAAACCG
This 245-nucleotide ribosomal RNA is filed under the name uncultured archaeon. RNAcentral describes it as "partial 16S ribosomal RNA". It matches the Rfam family "Archaeal small subunit ribosomal RNA", at positions 482 to 726 of the family's 1478-position model. The record is from RNAcentral.